GGGGGAUAAGCUUCAUUGUCAAGAGGGAAACAGCCCAGAUCACCACUUAAGGCCCCUAAGUAACUACUAAGUGACAAAGGAUGUAUUAGUACAUAGACAACCAGGAGGUUGACUUAGAAGCAGUAACCCUUUAAAAAGUGCGUAAUAGCUUACUGGUCAAGUGCUUUUGCGCCGAAAAUGAAUGGGACUAAGUAGUUUGCCGAAAGUGUGAGAUAAUAUCGGUAGAAGAGCGUUUUGUAUUAGUUAGAAGCAGUAGUGAAAACAGCUGUGGACUAUUCAGAAGUGAGAAUGUUGGCUUAAGUAACGAAAACAUUGGUUGAAAUCCAAUGCCCCGAAAACCUAAGGAUUCCUUCGCAAGGUUCGUCCACGAAGGGUUAGUCAGGACCUAAAGCGAGGUUUAACAGCGUAGUUGAUGGAUAACAGGUUAAUAUUCCUGUACUAUUUUUAAUUUAAUUAUGAGUGACAAAAAAGGCUAUACCAUCCAAAGACUGGUUGUUUUGGUUUAAUUUUACAAGGCUAGGAGAAGCAUUACAAAAAAUGUUUUGAGCUAAGUUCAGAGUACGAGAGAUAUUACGGUAUCAAAAGUGGUUCAUGUCAUGUUUUCAAGAAAAACUCUAGUAAUAUACAAUUAAAAAUACCUGUACCUUAAAUUGACACAGAUAGGAAAGUAGAGAAUACUAAGGGGCGCGAGAUAACUCUUUCUAAGGAACUCGGCAAAAUAACUCUGUAACUUCGGGAGAAAGAGUGCCUCUGCAAAGAGGUCGCAGUGAUCAGGUCCAAGCGACUGUUUAUCAAAAACACAGGUCUCCGCUAAGUUGAAAAACUAUGUAUGGGGGCUGACGCCUGCCCAGUGCCAGAAGGUUAAAGAAAUUGGUUAGCUAACGCGAAGCUGGUGACUGAAGCCCUGGUGAACGGCAGCCGUAACUAUAACGGUUCGAAGGUAGCGAAAUUCCUUGUCGGGUAAGUUCCGACCCGCACGAAAGGCGUAACGAUUUGGAUACUGUCUCAGAAAGAGACUCGGUGAAAUAGAAUUGACUGUGAAGAUGCGGUCUACUUGCACUUGGACAGAAAGACCCUAUGAAGCUUUACUGUAACUUGAGAUUGGUUUUGGGCUUUUUUUGCGCAGUAUAGGUGGGAGGCUUUGAACUUAUUUUUCGGAAGAAAGUGAGCCACAAUGUGAGAUACCACUCUGAAAAAGUUAAAAAUCUAAUAGUAUUUUAUCAAAAUACUUGACAGUUUCAGGCGGGCAGUUUUACUGGGGCGGUAGCCUCCUAAAAGGUAACGGAGGCGUACAAAGGUUUUCUCAGUCUGGACGGAAAUUAGUUGCAGCGUGUAAAGAUAAAAGUAAGCUUGACUGUGAGACUCAAAAGUCGAGCAGAGACUAAAGUCGGUCUUAGUGAUCCGACGGUGCUGAGUGGAAAGGCCGUCGCAUAACUGAUAAAAGUUACUCUAGGGAUAACAGGCUGAUCUCCCCCAAGAGUUCACAUCGACGGGGAGGUUUGGCACCUCGAUGUCGGCUCAUCGCAACCUGGGGCGGUAGUACGUCCCAAGGGUUGGGCUGUUCGCCCAUUAAAGCGGUACGUGAGCUGGGUUCAGAACGUCGAGAGACAGUUCGGUCCAUAUCCGGUGUGAGUGUUAGAGUAUUGAAAGGAGCUUUCCUUAGUACGAGAGGACCGGGAAGGAUACACCACUGAUGUACCAGUUUUUGUGCCAACAGAAUACGCUGGGUAGUUAAGUGUAGAGUGGAUAACUGCUGAAAGCAUAA
Molecule: ribosomal RNA, 1765 nt
Filed under: Euglena sp. MI67
Lineage: Eukaryota; Euglenozoa; Euglenophyceae; Euglenales; Euglenaceae
Description: LSU rRNA
Rfam family: Bacterial large subunit ribosomal RNA
Source: RNAcentral